Molecule: transfer RNA, 85 nt
Filed under: Deltaproteobacteria bacterium
Lineage: Bacteria; Pseudomonadati; Myxococcota; Myxococcia
Description: tRNA-Leu
Rfam family: tRNA
About the family: Transfer RNA (tRNA) molecules are approximately 80 nucleotides in length. Their secondary structure includes four short double-helical elements and three loops (D, anti-codon, and T loops). Further hydrogen bonds mediate the characteristic L-shaped molecular structure. tRNAs have two regions of fundamental functional importance: the anti-codon, which is responsible for specific mRNA codon recognition, and the 3' end, to which the tRNAs corresponding amino acid is attached (by aminoacyl-tRNA synthetases). tRNAs cope with the degeneracy of the genetic code in two manners: having more than one tRNA (with a specific anti-codon) for a particular amino acid; and 'wobble' base-pairing, i.e. permitting non-standard base-pairing at the 3rd anti-codon position.
Source: RNAcentral
GCGAGGCUGGCGGAACUGGCAGACGCGCUAGACUAAGGAUCUAGUGGGGCAACCCGUGGAGGUUCGAGUCCUCUGCCUCGCACCG